This 253-nucleotide ribosomal RNA is filed under the name uncultured bacterium. Its description in RNAcentral is "partial 16S ribosomal RNA". It matches the Rfam family "Bacterial small subunit ribosomal RNA", at positions 524 to 776 of the family's 1533-position model. The record is from RNAcentral.
UACGGAGGGGGCGAGCGUUAUUCGGAAUUAUUGGGCGUAAAGGGCGCGUAGGCGGCCUUGUAAGUCAAAGGUGAAAUCCCUCGGCUCAACUGAGGAACUGCCUUUGAAACUGCAAGGCUUGAGGCCGGGAGGGGGUAGCGGAAUUCCCAAUGUAGCGGCGAAAUGCGUAGAUAUUGGGAGGAACACCAGUGGCGAAGGCGGCUACCUGGACCGGUUCUGACGCUGAGGCGCGAAAGCGUGGGUAGCAAACAGG